UUUUGUCCAGUUUAAUGUUAAAACAAUAGUUUGUCAAAUUAUAGAUGCUCUUUGCGAUUAACAGAUA
RNAcentral lists this transfer RNA (67 nucleotides) under Galba pervia. Its description in RNAcentral is "tRNA-Asp". The record is from RNAcentral. Lineage: Eukaryota; Metazoa; Mollusca; Gastropoda; Lymnaeidae.